GUCCUGCUUAUAUUUCCUGCCUGGCUAUUGGGCAAUCAGCAUUUUGUUUAUACAGAGCGAUAUCCACAGCAACAGUCUUUGGCCAACAACCUGGAUGGAACUAAGUAUGCCAACCGCACGGAGUGUGGAAGUAGAUCCUUCCCAAGAUCUUGGAUACACGAAGUGUUUGGCUGACAGAAGAUGGUCAAAUGUGUCCCCUUCUGAGCCCAGGUCACAAAAGACAGGCAGCUUCAAUUUCUUUUUCCUUGGAAGGCUUUGUAAAAACAUAGCCAGAGAUGGCCAUGCUGGAGUCUGAGUGUUAGCUGACUCUGCAGAGCAUAGCCCUCUACCUGUGAUCUUGACAAGCACACAAAGGAAGCCAUCUGGUAGUCACCAACCAGCCUACCCACGAGUAUCAGUGUCCUCAUGGCAGCUGAUGCCUCAGGGAACAAAUCCGUGACUCACAGGAUCAUGAGAUAUGAUGAGGAUUGCUUUAAGCUGGCCAGUGAACAGCAAGAAGACAACUGGGGAAGAAUUUUGUAGCCGGGAGUGGGCUGUGGUCCGAGGACUGUAAAGCACACGUUUGAUAUUGGCUUUGUGACUGGGCCUAGGUUAAAGUGGGAAGACCUUGAGGAGCCUGUGAAUGAUGCUAGAAGGCCACAGAAGUGGCUGGGGAAACAUGGAAGGCCAGGGAAACUGGGAACUAUGAUCCUUGAAGAAAACCGAUGUCAUGUUAUAGUCACAUGGAAAACAGACAGCCAAUCAGCAGAUUUGCCUAGAGACAUUUCCUGACUGUGUUCAAGGUACCAAUCCAAACCAAUCCAAUUCUUUUUUUUUUUCUGUUUAUGAUAAGCCAUGGAUAAAAAGAUUAGGCUUAAAAAAGAGAAAUUUAUGGUGUUCAAACACAUUUUUAAAAGGAACUAUCAAGGAGUUUUAAGAUAAAAGUGAGCCCAUAGUCACGGUCAGAGCUAAACCCCAUCUAAGAUGUAUUUUGGUGCAUGUAUUGGUGUGUGAUGGAAGGUUUAAAUGCUGUAAUUCACAGGAUCCAGAUUUAGCACAAAAUUUGAUUUUACAUAUUGGCCACAGCCUACACGGAAUGUUAGCGGAAGUCCAGGUAGGAAAACCAAACAAAAGUAACACUUAGUUGAAUCACUUUGUUAGAAAAUUAUAAGAAAAUGCUCAUUGAAUUUUCCCCAUCAUUAGAAAGAAAAAAGAAAUAAUGAAAAUUGACAAUAAAGAUACAGAGAGCGAAUUCUCAAUUUCAAUUUGCCUUGCUGAAUGACACCUCUUAGAUAGUUUAUGAAAGGUAAAUUACAUUUGAAAUGAAAUCUUUUAAAUGGGUUAUCUUUGGGGUGGUUAUUUUGCACACCUUAAAAAUACAUUCUCUGUAUUGGUGGUGGGUUGGGUAGAAAGAUGAAUUCUGAAGGAGUUGAGAGAAAAAUAAUUUCAGAAGGUAAUGGAUGAACUCGGUCAGGAAGAUUAAUCAGGGCAGUUGCAAGAGAGUGCCCCAUCCAUAACUGGAGUAGAGCUAAAUAUCUGAUUGUAAUUAAAACUUUAGGUUUCUAAUGGCUGCAUGAAAGAUAUUUUAAUAAACGUGAAAUGCACUUUCUAAA
This is a long non-coding RNA of Peromyscus leucopus (white-footed mouse), 1592 nucleotides long. RefSeq lists it as uncharacterized. NCBI's taxonomy places the organism in Eukaryota, Metazoa, Chordata, Mammalia, Rodentia, Cricetidae. The transcript is spliced from 2 exons. The record is from RefSeq and is a predicted model, not a curated record.